GACGAACGCUGGCGGCGUGGAUUAGGCAUGCAAGUCGAACGGUAUCAUCCUUUCGGGGGUGAGAGAGUGGCGAACUGGUGAGUAACACGUAGGUUAUCUACCCUCAAGACGGGGACAACCCAGGGAAACUUGGGCUAAUACCGGAUGUGAGCAACUUUUAGUUGUUUGAAAGGUGGCGUAAGCUGUCGCUUGGGGAUGAGCCUGCGUCCUAUUAGUUAGUUGGUGAGGUAACGGCUCACCUAGGCAAUGAUAGGUAGGCGGCCUUAACGGGUGGUCGCCCACACUGGGAUUGAGAUACGGCCCAGACUCCUACGGGAGGCAGCAGUCGAGAAUAGUCUACAAUGGUCGGAAGACUGAUAGUGCGACGCCGCGUGAACGAUGAAUCCCUUCGGGAUGUAAAGUUCUUUUAUAUGUGAGCAGUGCUUCUUAUAUUUAACAGUUAUGGGGAGAGAGAUAUUAGCAUAUGAAUAAGCAACGGCUAACUCCGUGCCAGCAGCCGCGGUAAA
RNAcentral lists this ribosomal RNA (506 nucleotides) under uncultured bacterium. RNAcentral's name for it is "bacterial SSU rRNA". It matches the Rfam family "Bacterial small subunit ribosomal RNA", at positions 28 to 524 of the family's 1533-position model. The record is from RNAcentral.